Molecule: ribosomal RNA, 253 nt
Filed under: uncultured bacterium
Lineage: Bacteria
Description: partial 16S ribosomal RNA
Rfam family: Bacterial small subunit ribosomal RNA
Source: RNAcentral
UACGGAGGGUGCGAGCGUUGUCCGGAAUCACUGGGCGUAAAGGGCGCGUAGGCGGCCUGAUAAGUAGGGGGUGAAAUCCUGCGGCUUAACCGCAGGGCUGCCUUCUAAACUGUCAGGCUGGAGCACGGUAGAGGCAGGUGGAAUUCCCGGUGUAGCGGUGAAAUGCGCAGAUAUCGGGAGGAAGGCCGGUGGCGAAGGCGGCGCUCUGGAACGUUUCUGACACUGAGGCUCGAAAGCGUGGGGAGCAAACAGG